AUUGAACGCUGGCGGCAUGCCUUACACAUGCAAGUCGAACGGUAACGGGCCUUCGGGUGCCGACGAGUGGCGAACGGGUGAGUAAUACAUCGGAACGUGCCCGAUCGUGGGGGAUAACGAGGCGAAAGCUUUGCUAAUACCGCAUACGAUCUACGGAUGAAAGCAGGGGACCGCAAGGCCUUGCGCGGACGGAGCGGCCGAUGGCAGAUUAGGUAGUUGGUGGGAUAAAAGCUUACCAAGCCGACGAUCUGUAGCUGGUCUGAGAGGAUGAUCAGCCACACUGGGACUGAGACACGGCCCAGACUCCUACGGGAGGCAGCAGUGGGGAAUUUUGGACAAUGGGCGCAAGCCUGAUCCAGCCAUGCCGCGUGCAGGAUGAAGGCCUUCGGGUUGUAAACUGCUUUUGUACGGAACGAAAAGCCUUCUUCUAAUACAGGAGGGUCAUGACGGUACCGUAAGAAUAAGCACCGGCUAACUACGUG
Molecule: ribosomal RNA, 482 nt
Filed under: uncultured bacterium
Lineage: Bacteria
Description: partial 16S ribosomal RNA
Rfam family: Bacterial small subunit ribosomal RNA
Source: RNAcentral